CUAUUAGCUUAGUCCCUAACUGGUUUUCAACCCUAAACAGAAAGUUCCAUCACAAAAUUCUCCACCCUUUCCAGCUAUCAAGUCACUAUCCGCCCACAUUUUUUCUGUAGACUUUGGAUGGUAUUUUCCCUUCAGCACUCCCAGACAUCUCUUUCCACACAAUCUUAUUGAAGACCAUUCCUAGAACAUGUGUGGAAAAGCAACAUGGAAGCAAUCAAUUGCAUCCUUGAAGUUUCUACUCCCACC
RNAcentral lists this long non-coding RNA (246 nucleotides) under Elaeis guineensis (African oil palm). RNAcentral's name for it is "long non-coding RNA (EGUI_LNC034866)". Lineage: Eukaryota; Viridiplantae; Streptophyta; Magnoliopsida; Arecales; Arecaceae. The record is from RNAcentral.